RNAcentral lists this ribosomal RNA (550 nucleotides) under uncultured Planctomycetota bacterium. RNAcentral describes it as "uncultured planctomycete partial 16S ribosomal RNA". Lineage: Bacteria; Pseudomonadati; Planctomycetota. The record is from RNAcentral.
UUCCUUUGAGUUUCAGCCUUGCGACCAAACUCCCCAGGCGGAGCACUUAACACUUUCGCUUCGGUCGGAAACCUAUGGAGGAGCCUCCAACCUAGUGCUCAUCGUUUACAGCUAGGACUACCGGGGUAUCUAAUCCCGUUCGCUACCCUAGCUUUCGUGCCUCAGCGUCAGAAAAGACCCAGUGAGCCGCUUUCGCCACAGGUGUUCCUAAUGAUAUCAACGCAUUUCACCGCUCCACCAUUAGUUCCGCUCACCUCUAUCUUCCUCUAGCUUGGCAGUUUUGAGCGCAGUUCCUCGGUUGAGCCGAGGGAUUUCACACCCAACUUGCUAUGUCUCCUACGCGCCCUUUAAGCCCAGUGAUUCCGAAUAACGUUUGGACGGUUCGUCUUACCGCGGCUGCUGGCACGAACUUAGCCCGUCCCUCCUCUGAAGAUAGGUCAACUAUGGGGGAGAACCCCCAUAGAUUUCCUCCCAACUGACAGCGGUUUACAACCCGAAGGUCUUCAUCCCGCACGCGGCGUCGCUCCGUCAGGCUUUCGCCCAUUGCGGA